RNAcentral lists this long non-coding RNA (271 nucleotides) under Homo sapiens (human). RNAcentral's name for it is "HSALNT0166177". The record is from RNAcentral. Lineage: Eukaryota; Metazoa; Chordata; Mammalia; Primates; Hominidae.
AUUUGCCCUGACCUUUUGACUGCCUGGGUGAACAGAAUGUGUCAAAGUGACACUGCAUGGCUUUUGAGUCUAGGAUCUAAAAGCCCACCCAGCUUAUGCUUAUUUCUCGUGGAAACACACUUUGAGAAUCUUCAGCUGGCAAGUACCAUUUGAGUAAAGAAACCCUGAAGAAGAUUCCAGCCCUAGCCAUUGUCUGCCUGCAACUGUGUAAGAGAUCCCAAGCAUGAACUACCUAACUGAGCCCUGUCAACCCUCAGAAUCUUGAGAAAUA